Molecule: ribosomal RNA, 253 nt
Filed under: uncultured bacterium
Lineage: Bacteria
Description: partial 16S ribosomal RNA
Rfam family: Bacterial small subunit ribosomal RNA
Source: RNAcentral
UACGGGGGGGGCAAGCGUUGUUCGGAAUUACUGGGCGUAAAGCGCACGUAGGCGGACUGUUAAGUCAGGGGUGAAAUCCUGGAGCUCAACUCCAGAACUGCCUUUGAUACUGAGGAGCUUGAGUCCGGGAGAGGUGAGUGGAACUGCGAGUGUAGAGGUGAAAUUCGUAGAUAUUCGCAAGAACACCAGUGGCGAAGGCGGCUCACUGGCCCGGUACUGACGCUGAGGUGCGAAAGCGUGGGGAGCAAACAGG